AUUGAACGCUGGCGGCAGGCCUAACACAUGCAAGUCGAACGAGCGGCGGACGGGUGAGUAAUGUCUGGGAAACUGCCUGAUGGAGGGGGAUAACUACUGGAAACGGUAGCUAAUACCGCAUACUAUCGGAUGUGCCCAUAUGGGAUUAGCUAGUAGGUGGGGUAAAGGCUCACCUAGGCGACGAUCCCUAGCUGGUCUGAGAGGAUGAUCAGCCACACUGGGACUGAGACACGGCCCAGACUCCUACGGGAGGCAGCAGUGGGGAAUAUUGCGCAAUGGGCGCAACCCUGAUGCAGCCAUGCCGCGUGAAUGAAGAAGGCCUUCGGGUUGUAAAGUACUUUCGGCAGGGAGGCGUUAACUACAGAAGAAGCACCGGCUAACUCCGUGCCAGCAGCCGCGGUAAUUC
RNAcentral lists this ribosomal RNA (406 nucleotides) under uncultured bacterium. RNAcentral describes it as "partial 16S ribosomal RNA". It matches the Rfam family "Bacterial small subunit ribosomal RNA", at positions 30 to 526 of the family's 1533-position model. The record is from RNAcentral.